Molecule: non-coding RNA, 97 nt
Organism: Cladophialophora carrionii CBS 160.54
Lineage: Eukaryota; Fungi; Ascomycota; Eurotiomycetes; Chaetothyriales; Herpotrichiellaceae
Source: the annotation of a RefSeq genome assembly
GGUGGCAUGGUGUAAGGGUUAGCAUGUAUCGUUGUGGCUCAACAUCUGCCAGGUGGACCUAUCCGAUCCGAUCCCAGUUCGACUCUGGGUGCCGCCA